RNAcentral lists this ribosomal RNA (254 nucleotides) under uncultured bacterium. RNAcentral's name for it is "partial 16S ribosomal RNA". It matches the Rfam family "Bacterial small subunit ribosomal RNA", at positions 524 to 776 of the family's 1533-position model. The record is from RNAcentral.
UACGGGGGGAGCAAGCGUUGUUCGGAUUUACUGGGCGUAAAGGGCGCGUAGGCGGCCAGCACAAGUCAGUUGUGAAAUCUCCGAGCUUAACUCGGAAAGGUCAACCGAUACUGUGCGGCUAGAGUGCAGAAGGGGCAACUGGAAUUCUCGGUGUAGCGGUGAAAUGCGUAGAUAUCGAGAGGAACACCUGCGGCGAAGGCGGGUUGCUGGGCUGACACUGACGCUGAGGCGCGAAAGCUAGGGGAGCGAACGGG